UUGGAGGGCAAGUCUGGUGCCAGCAGCCGCGGUAAUUCCAGCUCCAAUAGCGUAUAUUAAAGUUGUUGCAGUUAAAAAGCUCGUAGUUGAAUUUCGGGAUCAAUAUGCCGGUCAUGCCUUGGUAUGCACUGGUAUCUUUGAUUUCUCCCUUCUGACGAACUUUGAUGUCAUUAAUUUGGUGUCAUAGGGAAUCAGGACUGUUACUUUGAAAAAAUUAGAGUGUUUAAAGCAGGCUCACGCUUGAAUACAUUAGCAUGGAAUAAUGAAAUAGGACGUUUGAUUCUAUUUUGUUGGUUUCUAGGAUCGACGUAAUGAUUAAUAGGGAUAGUUGGGGCAUUAGUAUUCAAUUGUCAGAGGUGAAAUUCUUGGAUUUAUUGAAGACUAACUACUGCGAAAGCAUUUGCCAAGGAUGUUUUCAUUAAUCAAGAACGAAAGUUAGGGGAUCGAAGACGAUCAGAUACCGUCGUAGUCUUAACCAUAAACUAUGCCGACUAGGGAUCGGAUGAUGUAAUUUUUU
RNAcentral lists this ribosomal RNA (517 nucleotides) under uncultured Glomeromycotina. RNAcentral describes it as "SSU rRNA". It matches the Rfam family "Eukaryotic small subunit ribosomal RNA", at positions 548 to 1071 of the family's 1831-position model. The record is from RNAcentral. Lineage: Eukaryota; Fungi; Glomeromycota.